RNAcentral lists this ribosomal RNA (775 nucleotides) under uncultured Neocallimastigales. Its description in RNAcentral is "partial large subunit ribosomal RNA". It matches the Rfam family "Eukaryotic large subunit ribosomal RNA", at positions 23 to 620 of the family's 3401-position model. The record is from RNAcentral. Lineage: Eukaryota; Fungi; Neocallimastigomycota; Neocallimastigomycetes; Neocallimastigales.
AGAGAGAGACAUGCGCGCAUAUCAAUAAGCGGAGGAAAAGAAACUAACUAGGAUUCCCUUAGUAACGGCGAGUGAAGGCGGGAAGAGCUCAAAUUUGAAAUCUUCAAGGUUCUACCUUGACGAAUUGUAGUUUAAAGAAGUGUUUUCUGCUGGAGUUUUGGUAAAAGUUCUUUGGAAUAGGACAUCAUAGAGGGUGAGAAUCCCGUAUUUGACCAUUAUUUCAGCUUUGUGAUACACUUUCAAAGAGUCGGAUUGUUUGGGAAUGCAGUCCAAAAUGGGUGGUAAAUUUCAUCUAAAGCUAAAUAUUGGCGAGAGACCGAUAGCGAACAAGUACCGUGAGGGAAAGAUGAAAAGAACUUUGAAAAGAGAGUUAAACAGUACGUGAAAUUGUCAAAAGGGAAGCGUUUGGACACCAGUGUUGUUUUCUCGAAAAUCAAUUAAAAAUGGCUCGAUUUUGUAUUGUUGAGACCUUAAAAGCUCACUGUACAUUUUUCGUGUCUUUUUUAAUGCACUUAUCGUUUAACAAGUCAACAUCAGUUUCUUUUGUUGUAAAAGGGUCAUUGGAAGGUGGCUUUCUUUUCGGAGAAAGUGUUUAUAGCCUUUGGCCUCUGCAAUCGAAGAGACUGAGGUCUGCAGCGUAGACUCUUCGGGGUUAGAUACAUUUGUGCUAAGUUAUAGCUUUUUAUAGACAACUUGUUGACUAUAAUUAGUCUUGUAGCUUACUCGCUUAUGCUAUUUUACCUACGCUUAGGAUGUUGAAGAUGUAGCACAUCAU